AUUCAGUUGAAGAGUCCAAAAUAGGACGAAGUGCAUGUCCUAGAU
This 45-nucleotide non-coding RNA is filed under the name Schistosoma margrebowiei. Lineage: Eukaryota; Metazoa; Platyhelminthes; Trematoda; Strigeidida; Schistosomatidae. The record is from RNAcentral.